AAUCACGCUGGCGGCGUGCCUAACACAUGCAAGUCGAACGCGAAAGGGGCUUCGGUCCUGAGUAGAGUGGCGGACGGGUGAGUAACACGUGGAUGACCUGCCCUCGAGUGGGGGGAUAACUCUUCGAAAGGGGGAGCUAAGACCGCAUGAGCUCCCGGGGGCGACUCUGGGAGGAAAGCCUGAGGGUGCUGGAGGAGGGGUCCGCGACCGAUUAGCUGGUUGGUGGGGUAAGGGCCUACCAAGGCGACGAUCGGUAGCCGGUCUGAGAGGACGGACGGCCACACUGGAACUGAGAGACGGUCCAGACUCCUACGGGAGGCAGCAGUCGAGAAUAGUCUACAAUGGUCGGAAGACUGAUAGUGCGACGCCGCGUGAACGAUGAAUCCCUUCGGGGUGUAAAGUUCUUUUAUAUGUGAGCAGUGCUUCUUAUAUUAACAGUAUGGGGAGAGAGAUAUUAGCAUAUGAAUAAGCAACGGCUAACUCCGUG
Molecule: ribosomal RNA, 487 nt
Filed under: uncultured bacterium
Lineage: Bacteria
Description: bacterial SSU rRNA
Rfam family: Bacterial small subunit ribosomal RNA
Source: RNAcentral